UCAAACCCACGCGCGUAAUGAAAGUGAACGGAGGUGAGAACCCUCGAGGGCGCAUCAUCGACCGAUCCAGAUGUCUUCGGAUGGAUUUGAGUAGGAGCAUAGCUGUUGGGACCCGAAAGAUGGUGAACUAUGCCUGAAUAGGGUGAAGCCAGAGGAAACUCUGGUGGAGGCUCGCAGCGGUUCUGACGUGCAAAUCGAUCGUCAAAUUUGGGUAUAGGGGCGAAAGACUAAUCGAACCAUCUACACCGGUCCUUCUGGAUGGUUCCGUCGGGACCCCCGUACGGAGGUCCCGAGUAGUCCCCUUUCCGGGGGGGCGACAUUGCCAGUCUUCGGGUCCGCCUUCGGGCCACCCGCAGCGGGUNCCGCCGGGGCUCCGUUCACGAGACUAAACAGCAAUGGCCGCGCCCGAGGCGGGGUUCAAAGAUAGCCGAUGCCCU
Molecule: ribosomal RNA, 437 nt
Filed under: Psoroglaena abscondita
Lineage: Eukaryota; Fungi; Ascomycota; Eurotiomycetes; Verrucariales; Verrucariaceae
Description: eukaryotic LSU rRNA
Rfam family: Eukaryotic large subunit ribosomal RNA (bases 1-249)
Source: RNAcentral